RNAcentral lists this ribosomal RNA (450 nucleotides) under uncultured bacterium. RNAcentral's name for it is "bacterial SSU rRNA". It matches the Rfam family "Bacterial small subunit ribosomal RNA", at positions 352 to 793 of the family's 1533-position model. The record is from RNAcentral.
CAGUGGGGAAUAUUGGCACAAUGGGCGCAAGCCUGAUGCAGCCAUGCCGCGUGUAUGAAGAAGGCCUUACGGGUGUAAAGUACUUUCAGCAGUGAGGAAGUGGGUAUGUUAAUAGCAUACUCAUUUGACGUUAGCUGCAGAAGAAGCACCGGCUAACUCCGUGCCAGCAGCCGCGGUAAUACGGAGGGUGCGAGCGUUAAUCGGAAUUACUGGGCGUAAAGCGCAUGCAGGUGGUUUGUUAAGUCAGAUGUGAAAGCCCGGGGCUCAACCUCGGAAUUGCAUUUGAAACUGGCAAACUAGAGUACUGUAGAGGGGGUAGAAGUUUCAGGUGUAGCGGUGAAAUGCGUAGAGAUCUGAAGGAAUACCGGUGGCGAAGGCGGCCCCCUCGGACAGAUACUGACACUCAGAUGCGAAAGCGUGGGGAGCAAACAGGAUUAGAUACCCUGGUAG